Molecule: transfer RNA, 68 nt
Filed under: Salmonella enterica subsp. enterica serovar Heidelberg
Lineage: Bacteria; Pseudomonadati; Pseudomonadota; Gammaproteobacteria; Enterobacterales; Enterobacteriaceae
Description: tRNA-Val
Rfam family: tRNA (bases 7-63)
About the family: Transfer RNA (tRNA) molecules are approximately 80 nucleotides in length.
Source: RNAcentral
GGUGAUUAGCUCAGCUGGGAGAGCACCUCCCUUACAAGGAGGGGGUCGGCGGUUCGAUCCGUUCGGUG